AACGAACGCUGGCGGCGCGCCUAAUACAUGCAAGUCGAGCGAGAAGACGUAGCAAUACGUUUGUAAAGCGGCGAACGGGUGAGGAAUACAUGGGUAACCUACCCUCGAGUGGGGAAUAACUAGCCGAAAGGUUAGCUAAUACCGCGUACGCUCCUUGGACUUCGGUUCAGGGAGGAAAGCGAUACCGUGGGUAUCGCGCUCUUGGAUGGGCUCAUGUCCUAUCAGCUUGUUGGUGAGGUAACGGCUCACCAAGGCUUCGACGGGUAGCUGGUCUGAGAGGACGAUCAGCCACACUGGCACUGCGACACGGGCCGGACUCCUACGGGAGGCAGCAGUAAGGAAUAUUGCGCAAUGGGCGAAAGCCUGACGCAGCGACGCCGCGUGGGGAUGAAGGUCUUCGGAUUGUAAACCCCUUUCGGGAGGGAAGAUGGAAUGGGGUAACCCAUUCGGACGUACCUCCAGAAGCAGCCACGGCUAACUUCGUGCCAGCCGCCGCGGUAAU
This 502-nucleotide ribosomal RNA is filed under the name uncultured bacterium. Its description in RNAcentral is "bacterial SSU rRNA". It matches the Rfam family "Bacterial small subunit ribosomal RNA", at positions 29 to 524 of the family's 1533-position model. The record is from RNAcentral.